RNAcentral lists this ribosomal RNA (908 nucleotides) under uncultured bacterium. Its description in RNAcentral is "bacterial SSU rRNA". It matches the Rfam family "Bacterial small subunit ribosomal RNA", at positions 580 to 1500 of the family's 1533-position model. The record is from RNAcentral.
UCCUUAAGUCAGUGGUGAAAUCCUGCCGCUUAACGGUAGAAAUUGCCCAUGAUACUGAAGAGCUUGAGUACAAUUGAGGUAAGCGGAAUGUGUAGUGUAGCGGUGAAAUGCUUAGAUAUUACACAGAACACCAAUUGCGAAAGGCAGCUUACUAAACUGUUACUGACGCUGAUGCACGAAAGCGUGGGGAGCGAACAGGAUUAGAUACCCUGGUAGUCCACGCCGUAAACGAUGCUCACUCGCUGUAUGCGAUACACAGUAUGCGGCCAAGCGAAAGCAUUAAGUGAGCCACCUGGGGAGUACGAUCGCAAGGUUGAAACUCAAAGGAAUUGACGGGGGCCCGCACAAGCGGAGGAACAUGUGGUUUAAUUCGAUGAUACGCGAGGAACCUUACCUGGGCUUAAAUGUAGAGCGACAGCUUGUGAAAGCAGGCUUUCUUCGGACGAUCUACAAGGUGCUGCAUGGUUGUCGUCAGCUCGUGCCGUGAGGUGUCGGGUUAAGUCCCAUAACGAGCGCAACCCUUAUCGUUAGUUGCCAGCGGGUCAAGCCGGGGACUCUAGCGAGACUGCCACCGUAAGGUGUGAGGAAGGUGGGGAUGACGUCAAAUCAGCACGGCCCUUAUGUCCAGGGCUACACACGUGUUACAAUGGCCGAUACAAAGGGCAGCUACCAGGUGACUGGAUGCUAAUCUCUAAAGUCGGUCUCAGUUCGGAUCGAAGUCUGCAACCCGACUUCGUGAAGCUGGAUUCGCUAGUAAUCGCAUAUCAGCCAUGAUGCGGUGAAUACGUUCCCGGGCCUUGUACACACCGCCCGUCAAACAAUGGAAGCUGGGGGUACCUGAAGUCUGUAACCGSGAGGAGCGGCCUAGGGUAAAACUAGUAACUGGUGUUAAGUSGUAACAAGGUAGC